RNAcentral lists this long non-coding RNA (634 nucleotides) under Nicotiana tabacum (common tobacco). RNAcentral's name for it is "long non-coding RNA (NTAB_LNC012972)". The record is from RNAcentral. Lineage: Eukaryota; Viridiplantae; Streptophyta; Magnoliopsida; Solanales; Solanaceae.
GGAAAAACAAGCACUAAUUAGGAUAAAUGCAAGUUGUCAGGAGUCCGCCUGGAGAACAGAGACGUAUUUUUCAAGUUUGACGUCAGGAGUCCGCCUGGAGAACAGAGACGUAUUUUUCAAGUUUGACGUCAGGAGUCCGCCUGAAGAACGGAGACAUACAGUUUAAAUUUUAAAAGUCAGGAGUCCGCCUGAAGAACGGAGACAUACCGUUUAAAUUUUAAAAGUCAGGAGUCCGCUUGGAGAAUAGAGACAUUCAUUUCAAAUUUAGCAAUCAGGAGUCCGCCUGGAGAACAGAGACGUAUUUUUCAAGUUUGACGUCAGGAGUCCGCCUGAAGAACGGAGACAUACAGUUUAAAUUUUAAAGGUCAGGAGUCCGCCUGAAGAACGGAGACAUACAGUUUAAAUUUUAAAAGUCAGGAGUCCGCCUGGAGAAUAGAGACAUUCAUUUCAAAUUUAGCAAUCAGAAGUCCGCCUGGAGAACAGAGACGUACUUUUCAAGUUUGACGUCAGGAGUCCGCCUGAAGAACGGAGACAUACAGCUUAAAUUUUAAAAGUCAGGAGUCCGCCUGGAGAACAGAGACAUACUUUUCAAGUUUGGUGUAAGGAGUCCGCCUGAAGAACAGAGACACAUAGU